GAUGAACGCUGGCGGCGUGCUUAACACAUGCAAGUCGAACGGUGAAGCAGGAGCUUGCUCUUGUGGAUCAGUGGCGAACGGGUGAGUAACACGUGAGCAACCUGCCCCUGACUCUGGGAUACGCGCUGGAAACGGCGUCCAAUACUGGAUAUGUGAUGUUGCCGCAUGGUCUGCAUCUGGAAAGAAUUUCGGUUGGGGAUGGGCUCGCGGCCUAUCAGCUUGUUGGUGAGGUAAUGGCUCACCAAGGCGUCGACGGGUAGCCGGCCUGGGAGGGUGACCGGCCACACUGGGACUGAGACACGGCCCAGACUCCUACGGGAGGCAGCAGUGGGGAAUAUUGCACAAUGGGCGGAAGCCUGAUGCAGCAACGCCGCGUGAGGGAUGACGGCCUUCGGGUUGUAAACCUCUUUUAGCAGGGAAGAAGCGAAAGUGACGGUACCUGCAGAAAAAGCACCGGCUAACUACGUGCCAGCCGCCGCGGUAA
RNAcentral lists this ribosomal RNA (484 nucleotides) under uncultured bacterium. RNAcentral's name for it is "partial 16S ribosomal RNA". It matches the Rfam family "Bacterial small subunit ribosomal RNA", at positions 28 to 523 of the family's 1533-position model. The record is from RNAcentral.